Long non-coding RNA from Corticium candelabrum, 494 nucleotides. RefSeq lists it as uncharacterized. The transcript has 4 exons. Lineage: Eukaryota; Metazoa; Porifera; Homoscleromorpha; Homosclerophorida; Plakinidae. The record is from RefSeq and is a predicted model, not a curated record.
AUCCGGGCAAUGUACUAAUUUUAAGAACGUGGCUCGUUGAUAUUCUAGCCUUUGUGAGCGUCUUCCUCUGCCUUUCGUCAAUGGAAUCAUUAUAUCAAAAAGCGAACAAAUUGUUGAUGGAAGUUGAGAGUCACAUAUCAUCUCUAGGGCACUCGUAUUCGCCUCAACUUGAGCAGGAAAUUGAGGGUAAAUUAGAGGAGUUGUUCUCUGAUAUUCAGAGGUUGGAGCAGAUGGUCGCUAAAGAACCACCUUCCAGGAAGCAGAGCGCCAAACUACGAGUUGAACAAUUGUCAUAUGAUUAUCAGCAUCUACAUAGUACUCUUAGGACGUUCCAACAGAAACAGCGGCUCAAGGAAAAGGAAGAGCACGAUAGGAAUGAAUUGUUGUCAAGGAGAUUUACAGCAAAAUGUAUGGAUGUACACACACACACACACACACACACACACACACACACACACACACACACACACACACACACACACACACACACACAC